This 513-nucleotide ribosomal RNA is filed under the name uncultured bacterium. RNAcentral describes it as "bacterial SSU rRNA". It matches the Rfam family "Bacterial small subunit ribosomal RNA", at positions 411 to 925 of the family's 1533-position model. The record is from RNAcentral.
ACGGCCUUCGGGUUGUAAACCUCUUUCAGCGGGGACGAAGCGCCGAUGAUGGUGGUGACGGUACCCGCAGAAGAAGCACCGGCCAACUACGUGCCAGCAGCCGCGGUAAUACGUAGGGUGCGAGCGUUGUCCGGAAUUAUUGGGCGUAAAGGGCUCGUAGGCGGUUUGUCGCGCCGGGAGUGAAAACACCGGGCUUAACUCGGUGCUUGCUUUCGAUACGGGCAGACUAGAGGUAUGCAGGGGAGAACGGAAUUCCUGGUGUAGCGGUGAAAUGCGCAGAUAUCAGGAGGAACAUCGGUGGCGAAGGCGGUUCUCUGGGCAUUACCUGACGCUGAGGAGCGAAAGUGUGGGGAGCGAACAGGAUUAGAUACCCUGGUAGUCCACACCGUAAACGUUGGGCGCUAGGUGUGGGGCCUAUUCCAUGGGUUCCGUGCCGCAGCUAACGCAUUAAGCGCCCCGCCUGGGGAGUACGGCCGCAAGGCUAAAACUCAAAGGAAUUGACGGAAUCGAAUU